UGCUCUUUGAAGAAGAAUGUUGAUGACUCAAAUACAGAACCGAACGACAUGACCUAUUUCUGCGUUAUUGUUGCAAGUUAUGGGUUAAAAUCUCGACAGUUGGAUAACUACUAAAUUCGAGCAAAUUAGAAAUGGCUGCGGACAGUCGCAGUCCAUCCGCUAAAGUCCCCAUGCGAGAUGGUAAAGAAAAGGGACAAGUGAGCAGAAUCAAGAAACUUAAGAGAAGAAUAUCAGCAAGUUUUGGCAAGCUUUCUCUCACCAAAGAAGAUACGAUACAUGAAAGCGACCAAGAGUCAGACCCUGGGUCCCUGAGUAAUGGCUACUCGUCUCGUGAUGAAUCUCUCUCCCCUGCUGAUCUCCCCAUCCUGAACGGCAGCGGCCAUACAGCCACCAACGGCAGCGGCAACUGGCGAGACGUCAACCGCGGGCACUCAAAGUCAGCUGUGGUUCCCCGCAUGUCAACUUCAGUCUCAGGCAAACGUCACACCCCUGUUAAGCGGCACCACUCAGCAGGGGACAUGUUGGUGACCAAUUUCCCCACCACUGAAAGCGACCGACUGCAGAGGCCCAAGUCUGAAGGCCAUGCCUACUGUCGCCAGUUCCUCUCCAAGCGAACCUCUAGUUAUGGGGGUCAGUCUCCGUUUGGCCGAGCAGACUCCUACCAUAAACUGGAGCAGCUCGGCGAGGGCUCAUAUGCCACUGUCUACAAAGGUAUUAGCAGCCUGAACAAUCAGGUUGUGGCCCUGAAAGAGAUACGUCUUCAGGAAGAAGAGGGUGCACCUUUCACUGCAAUAAGAGAAGCGUCUUUGCUGAAAGGUUUGCGUCACACCAACAUCGUUACUCUCCAUGACAUCAUUCACACCAAGGAAACACUCACUUUUGUAUUUGAAUAUGUGCAUACAGAUCUAAGUCAAUAUUUAGAAAAGCACCAGGGUGGCUUAAACCCAUUCAAUGUGAAGCUGUUUUUGUUUCAACUGCUGCGGGGUUUGUCCUACUGCCAUGAAAGGAGGAUUCUACACAGGGACCUCAAACCCCAGAAUCUUCUCAUCAGUGAGAUGGGAGAUCUCAAACUAGCUGACUUUGGUUUAGCAAGAGCUAAGUCCAUUCCUAGUCGAACCUACUCCCAUGAAGUGGUCACCUUGUGGUACCGCCCUCCUGAUGUGCUGUUGGGCUCAACUGACUACUCCACAUCACUAGAUAUGUGGGGCGUUGGAUGCAUCUUUACAGAGAUGAUAUCCGGCCUUGCAACCUUUCCCGGUAUGAAGGAUGCCUUUGAUCAGCUGGAUAAAAUAUUCAGGGUGCUAGGUACACCAACUGAGUGUACAUGGGAGGGCGUGUCCAAGUAUCCCCAUUAUGAUACAAGUGAAAAAGUUUGGUGUGUUUGUGCGUCAGCCACUGUCAUGUUGUAUACCCAAGCUGUCCUUUGUACAACAUGCUGAAGAUUUAGCUGCUAAAUUAUUACAGAUGGAACCAUGUCGUCGUCUGUCUGCAAAGUUGGCGAUGAAACAUGACUACUUCCGGGACCUGCCUCCAAAGAUACAUGACCUCCCUGAUUCUGCCUCUGUGUUCAACAUUCCUGGGCUGAAGAUGCUACCGGAGAUGGAUGAAGUGGUCUCCAAGAAACCUACCGGACGCAGUGGGAUACGGACAACGCUCAAGG
RNAcentral lists this unclassified non-coding RNA (1660 nucleotides) under Haliotis rubra (blacklip abalone). RNAcentral describes it as "cyclin-dependent kinase 14-like, transcript variant X2". Lineage: Eukaryota; Metazoa; Mollusca; Gastropoda; Lepetellida; Haliotidae. The record is from RNAcentral.